This 105-nucleotide non-coding RNA is filed under the name unclassified sequences. Its description in RNAcentral is "DUF3800-VII RNA". It matches the Rfam family "DUF3800-VII RNA". The record is from Rfam by way of RNAcentral.
AGCAGGCAUGUGCGGGAUGAUUAACGCGGGUUAAUUAACGUAGGUCGCCCUCACGGGCGGCAGCCGCAAGUCGGCGGGCUCCUACGACCCGGGGCCUGCUUUUUG